This 280-nucleotide ribosomal RNA is filed under the name uncultured Ruminococcus sp. RNAcentral's name for it is "partial 16S ribosomal RNA". It matches the Rfam family "Bacterial small subunit ribosomal RNA", at positions 355 to 651 of the family's 1533-position model. Lineage: Bacteria; Bacillati; Bacillota; Clostridia; Eubacteriales; Oscillospiraceae. The record is from RNAcentral.
UGGGGAAUAUUGCACAAUGGGGCGCAAGCCUGAUGCAGCGAUGCCGCGUGAGGGAAGAAGGUUUUCGGAUAGUAAGCCUCUGUCAUCAGGGACGAAAAUGACGGUACCUGGGAAGGAAGCUCCGGCUAACUACGUGCCAGCAGCCGCGGUAAUACGUAGGGAGCAAGCGUUAUCCGGAAUUACUGGGUGUAAAGGGAGUGUAGGCGGGACUGUAAGUCAGAUGUGAAAUAUGCCGGCUCAACUGGCAGACUGCAUUUGAAACUGCGGUUCUUGAGUAGAG